AGCUACAACACAGAGAAGACUUAAGUAGGACAGGUGACAGAGCUACAACACAGAGAAGACUUAAGUAGGACAGGUCACGGGGAGCUACAUCAGAAGAGUUCAGUAGGACAGGUACAGAGCUACAACACAGAAUAUUUCAGUAGAACAGGUUUAAGGGCUACAGCACAGGGAAGACUUCAGUAGAACAGGUUUGAGGGCUACAGGACAGGGAAGACUUCAGUAGGACAGGUUUAAGGGCUACAGGACAGGGAAGACUUCAGUAUGACAGGUUUAAGGGCUACAGGACAGGGAAAACUUCAGUAGGACAGGUUUAAGGGCUACAGGACAGGGAAGACUUCAGUAGGACAGGUUUAAGGGCUACAGGACAGGGAAGACUUCAGUAGGACAGGUUUAAGGGCUACAGGACAGGGAAGACUUCAGUAGGACAGGUUUAAGGGCUACAGGACAGGGACGACUUCAGUAGGACAGGUUUAAGGGCUACAGGACAGGGAAGACUUCAGUAGGACAGGUUUAAGGGCUACAGGACAGGGAAGACUUCAGUAGGACAGGUUUAAGGGCUACAGGACAGGGAGGACUUCAGUAGGACAGGUUUAAGGGCUACAGGACAGGGAAGACUUCAGUAGGACAGGUUUAAGGGCUACAGGACAGGGAAGACUUCAGUAGGACAGGUUUAAGGGCUACAGGACAGGGAGGACUUCAGUAGGACAGGUUUAAGGGCUACAGGACAGGGAAGACUUCAGUAGGACAGGUUUAAGGGCUACAGGACAGGGAAGACUUCAGUAGGACAGGUUUAAGGGCUACAGUGUAGGCUUGCCUAAACAAAGGGGUUAAUAAUUAUGCAACAACUACAGAUUCCAGUUACUUAAUUUGUAUAAAAAAAAUAGUGUAGAAUUUUCUUUUCCCUUUGACAUUAUGGAGUAUUUUGUGUCGAUCAAUAACAAAAAACAUCUAUUAAAUGUAUUUCAAUCCCACUUUGUAACGGAACAAAAUCUAAACGGGGCGUGAAUACUUCCGAUGCAUCCCAUCAACGGGCUAUUUGGUACAUUUAUUCCAUUCCAAAUCAAAGUCUUCAC
Long non-coding RNA from Oncorhynchus keta (chum salmon), 1073 nucleotides. RefSeq lists it as uncharacterized. NCBI's taxonomy places the organism in Eukaryota, Metazoa, Chordata, Actinopteri, Salmoniformes, Salmonidae. The record is from RefSeq and is a predicted model, not a curated record. The transcript has 5 exons.